AGGUCCUUGAUUUCAAAUUCAUUGGCAAGUUUUUCCUUGAGAUUAACCAUCUUUUCUUUAUUAUUUCCAAUUAUUACAAUGUCAUCAACAUAGACAAUGAGAAUGGUAAUCUUGCCAUUUCCACGUUUGACGAAUAUAGUGUGAUCUGCCCAGCUUUGCUUGUAUCCAAAUCUCAUCAUAGCCUUAUAGUACCUUUCAAACCAUGCUUUAGGGGAUGUUUCAACCC
This 226-nucleotide long non-coding RNA is filed under the name Panax ginseng (ginseng). RNAcentral's name for it is "long non-coding RNA (PGIN_LNC014397)". Lineage: Eukaryota; Viridiplantae; Streptophyta; Magnoliopsida; Apiales; Araliaceae. The record is from RNAcentral.